This 232-nucleotide ribosomal RNA is filed under the name uncultured bacterium. RNAcentral describes it as "partial small subunit ribosomal RNA". It matches the Rfam family "Bacterial small subunit ribosomal RNA", at positions 26 to 288 of the family's 1533-position model. The record is from RNAcentral.
AGAACGAACGCUGGCGGCAGGCUUAACACAUGCAAGUCGAACGCCCCGCAAGGGGAGUGGCAGACGGGUGAGUAACGCGUGGGAACGUGCCCCAAGGUACGGAACAACUCCGGGAAACUGGAGCUAAUACCGUAUGUGCCCGAAAGGGGAAAGAUUUAUCGCCUUGGGAUCGGCCCGCGUCUGAUUAGCUAGUUGGUAGGGUAAUGGCCUACCAAGGCUACGAUCAGUAGCU